Magnolia sinica is the source of this 772-nucleotide long non-coding RNA. RefSeq lists it as uncharacterized. Lineage: Eukaryota; Viridiplantae; Streptophyta; Magnoliopsida; Magnoliales; Magnoliaceae. The transcript has 3 exons. The record is from RefSeq and is a predicted model, not a curated record.
UCAUUUUCAUGUAGACUCUCUCUAGAUUAUGUUAAAAUCUUAUGAGCAUGAUUUAUUGCAUGCCAUUUCUUACUCAUAAUUAUGUUGUUGCCUAGUUCCAAAUGUUGUGUAUGGUGCUUAAAUUUUGAGUGAAGUAGAUUAUGUUAGUAAACAAUGUAUCUUGUCUGCUACAAGAAGUUCAGUCCUAUUAAAGUUCGUUCUUUGAAGGUGCAGCUUGUCUACUACAUGUGCUCUUGCACAUGUCAGCGUGAUGGACAUGCUGCAUUUCCACAAGUUCACCAUAGGAACUUGUGCAUUCUGAAGAUGAUAUCGUAAAGUUCUAUGAAGAAACUGGUUUACUUAUGGCAUUAAUGAAACUAUUGACCAUAUUCAAGGAGAUCCUCUCAAUAAGCUUAUGGCAUUUGUACACCCAGGAAUAGUUGCUGUUGUUAUUAAACUAAGUGUUGUUGAGGGGGUUUGAAAAUGCAGCAGUGAUUGUAAAAUACGCACAACAACAUGAAAAGAUGGCUGUUAUCAGUGUUGUAUAUGAAAGUAGCCUAAGUUUAGCAUCAUAUGUUCACUUUGCAUGCUAUCUUGAGCAGCAAAACAUGGAGAUCUGCAAGAUGAAGAAUAAGGAAUAGUGCCUAACUAUAGCCCAUGACCUUAUGAAGAAUGAGGGUGGAAGUGUUUUCUGUUGUUCUUUUCUAAUAUGGGCAACUAUUAUCUCCCUUUGGUCAUUCUUUUGAAUUAGGUUUGUGUUCAACCUUCUCUACCAUGUGGAAUUUGAGGAUUU